This is a long non-coding RNA of Clupea harengus (Atlantic herring), 2689 nucleotides long. The record is from Ensembl. Lineage: Eukaryota; Metazoa; Chordata; Actinopteri; Clupeiformes; Clupeidae.
UGUUGGAAUAGUUGGGCGAUUAUGAAAGACUAAAGAUACAAAGGCAAGACCUCUAAAACUGUUUACCAUGACAAUAUUGCCUCAGUGUUCAGAAUCUGUACAAAUAAGCAUCCAAAAAAGAUACCUGCAUUACAAUUGACCUUCAUAAUGACACGGAUUAAAAGGCACAGCUAGCUAUCCGAACAGAGCAUCACGAGCUCCAGAUGGUCAGAGGACAAAAUCAAAUUAGCUUCAACUGAAGUUUAGUUUGGUCGGGCCUUUGUAAACCUAACACACUCUGGGAACAGUCCCAUCCUCUCCCUGUAAACAGAUAGAGUGAUGUUCAUUGAUCAAAUAAACAAAUUGAUUGAUUGAUUGAUUGAUUGAUUGCCCUUUCUAUGCAGUCCGCUGUAAGGAGGACAACUAUUCCUGAGUCUCUGGCCGCCAGCCGGCUGUAUGUGAUGAACUGCAGGCUUAUAGGCUCAGUUGUGCAGAAGCAGAGCUAGGCAUGGUCAUAAUGUCUACACCAAUACACAAUAGACCUGUUUGUCUUUCUGUCUGACAAUCUACCUGCCCAAUUAUCUAACUAUUCAUACAUAACAAUGUCAAUGCAUUUACAGGCAGGGGGAUCUCAGAAACGGUAUCUCUGCUGGCCCUACGAUAACAGGACAUAGUUAGAUAGCUAAGUCUACAAAUGACCAGCGAAUGUACAUCAGCAAUACACUGAAAUAUUACACACAUGCCCCCACAAACAUUGAGACGAUCCUUUGGAAUUAGCCAGUUUAUGCACACUUCCAUUUCAAGUGUAUGUAAGUAAACUACUCUGGGUCACACAAAGCUGCAUACAUAUCCAAUACUGGCAACAACAAGCAAGUAUGGUACACUUUGAUGACAGACAUAAAACCACCAGAACAAACAUACACAUGCAUCUAUAUUACAUCUUGGGAUGUGGCCCAAGUAUAGGGUGUGAUGCAACCAAUGAACUUAUAAUUUAGUUUCUUUACACUUAGGCCACUACACUACACCUAUAGCCCAGCUGCCACUAUUGGAGGCUAUGGCAUGUGAGCAUGGCCCAGUACUUUCAGCAAAUUCUUACAGAUGUGAAGCGCUAAAUCUACAUCACCCUCAAACUUUGUUGAGGUUCAGGGCUAUUAAGCCACACACUCUGUGUGUUCAUGUAGUGUGUGUGUGUGUGUGUGUGUCUGUAAUAACUUUGCUCCCUAUCAGCUUUCUCAGUUUUCCUUUUUUUUCAGUGACAUUCCUGCUCGGGAGCCGACUAAAGCCCCAUGGUCCCAUAGGUCCCGUUUAGUGGAGUUGUGCCCCCCCCCCCCUAAGAUUGAUGUGAAAAGAUGGAGUUAUGUAACAGGUCCUCUGAGCAUCAUACUGCUGCUUAACUCCCCAAGUUAGGGAAGGAACCAGCUGGUCACAAAAGGUUGCAUAAUGGGCUUCCAACAUCACUAGAGUCCCCACACCCGAUGAAACACUGUGGGUCUAAAACAGAUAGUUUGGACCCCUGAGUAUGAUAUGCUUCCCACCCUACAGAAUAACACUAGCCUGGACUCAAGUUACAGUGACAGACACACUGACUGUUCAGCAAGUGGCCCAGCAUUGACUUGCAGUCUUAGCACCUUAUUUAGAGUCACUCAGACCCGUUCCUUCACUAGCUCUGGUUCACGGGAGGAGGGGGUGGAGAGGGAGAGAGUAGGAGACUGUUUUGCAGAGCGGUAUAUGCGUGGAAAGAACUUUUUGUGGUACAAAAACACUGUAUCAGAGGAUUUUUGGCCGGCUCCUUAAAGAUCACAGCCAGCGGUUUAGCGUUCUAAAACAUUCACACUCCAGUAAAUGAGCUUACAUACUGUGCAGGAGGGAUGUUUGUUUGCAGGCAAACCUGCUCAGAUCUGUCAAAUAAUGAACACUUAGCCUUAAAAUCCACAUUCUGUUUGCAACCAAAUGCAGAACCACACAAAAGCUACUGCUUCGCUAUCUAUAUCAUGGUUCAGCAACUGAAAGUGCCCUGCCUGGCCCUGAAAUGCGGCGAUUCUCUGUCAAUUCAGGAGAUGAGUGAAUGAGCGAUGCGUCUUUUACUGAAGGUUCUUACCGAUGUCGAUCCGGAGGACGAUGCUAUGUAAACUUUGAUCACCAUGUUCUUCUGCAAAAUCCCUGCGUGGUGCCGAGACAGUAAUCCCAAAAAAACAGAGCGAUUGUAAACAGAAAGACACACUCGCAGUGAAGACAGAAGAAAUAGACAAGCUCCUGCAAAAAAUAAUUUCUAUCACUAACAGCUGCAAUCUGUGCAGAGGCUUGUGUUCCAACCCUUGAUGGACUUCAAUAUUUUCUUAAGCCUCCGCCUCCCCUCCCCCUGUACUCCGCCCCCUCCCCUUUCUCUGCACUCCAGACUCGGUCAUCCAUUAGUGGCCAAAGUUUACCAUCACCACCUUUACUCAAAUGAUUACAAUUGUAUUGCCAGUACGUCUCAGAACAGUGGGCUCAUUGUAAAUCGUUCAAAUCACGUACUGGAAUGAGGAAGGCAAACACAUUCCGCACAGUUCAAAUGUCACCCCUAAAUGUCAUCUUUGUUGUGAUUACGGCUUUCGUGUUGCAAUACAUUCGUUGUCUUUGUUUUUUCUUAACUGCUGCUUCUUCCCUCGGCCUAGUCAAUUUACCCCUGUGUCAGCAACCAGAUGGAUGCGCUUCAGGUUCAGAACCGAGG